AUUGAACGCUGGCGGCAGGCCUAACACAUGCAAGUCGAGCGGAGCGGCGGACGGGUGAGUCAUGCCUAGGAAUCUGCCUGGUAGUGGGGGAUCACGUCAGGCAACGGGCGCUAAUACCGCAUACUAUCAGAUGAGCCAAGGUCGGAUUAGCUAGAUGGUGGGGUAAAGGCCUACAAAGGCGACGAUCCGUAACUAGUCUGAGAGGAUGAUCAGUCACACUGGAACGGAGACACGUUCCAUACUCCUACGGGAGGCAGCAGUGGGGAAUAUUGGACAAUGGGCGAAAGCCUGAUCCAGCCAGGCCGCGUGUGUGAAGAAGUUCUUCGGAUUGUAAAGCACUUUAAGUUGGGAGGCGUGACCAACAGAAUAAGCACCGGCUAACUUCGUGCCAGCAGCCGCGGUAAUUC
Molecule: ribosomal RNA, 407 nt
Filed under: uncultured bacterium
Lineage: Bacteria
Description: partial 16S ribosomal RNA
Rfam family: Bacterial small subunit ribosomal RNA
Source: RNAcentral